UACGUAGGAGACGAGCGUUGUCCGGAGUUACUGGGCGUAAAGGGUGCGCAGGUGGCGGCGCGCGUGGGGGGUGAAAUCGCCCGGCUUAACUGGGCGGGGGCCUUCCAGACGGCGUGGCUUGAGCAGCGGAGGGGGACGUGGAAUUCCGGGUGGAGCGGUGAAAUGCGUAGAUAUCGGGGGGAACACCAGUGGCGAAGGCGACUUCCUGGCCUGUUCUUGACGCUGAGGCGCGAAAGCUAGGGGAGCAAACGGG
RNAcentral lists this ribosomal RNA (253 nucleotides) under uncultured bacterium. RNAcentral describes it as "partial 16S ribosomal RNA". It matches the Rfam family "Bacterial small subunit ribosomal RNA", at positions 524 to 776 of the family's 1533-position model. The record is from RNAcentral.